GUUGGUGGUGCUUGCGCUAGUAGGAUGGCCGGCAGGUGAUAGGAGGAGUGCGGGCCAGGGGCGCAGCCGAUGGAUGCCAAGGGUGCAAAGCCACCGAGGCUCCUCCACUGGCACCAGGUGCCGUCUCACCUACAGUUCAACCCCUACAUCCUCACCGGCUACAGACCCCAGUUGUCGCCCUGGGGCAGUCUGCGAAGUCUCUUCUAUCUUCACAACGAGACAGUCAACGUGAUUACACAUGGUGUGCCAAUCGUGUGCAUCCUGGUGGUGGUGCCGUGCAUCCUGCCGUGGGAGGAGCUGUCGCCGACGUCCCGGUUCCUGGCGUGGUGCCACGUGGCCGGCUCGGUGGCGCCCUGGGUGGGCAGCUUCAUCUACCACCUCUUCAUGAACCUCCACUUCGGCCCCAACUUCUACAACCUCCUGCUGCAGGUCGACAUGCUCGGCAUCUGGAUCAGCCAGAGCUUUGGUGCAUUGCCCAUGGUGUUUGCCUCAGUGUUCUGUAUGCCCUAUCCCUUGCAAUGGUUUGUCAUCUUCAUCUACGGCUGUUUCUCCAUAGUUGGUCUUUUCAAGGUGAUGUCAGCAUCCUCGCCUUGGAGACGGAGAAUGAGUUUUACGUUAGUUGUAAUUUUACGAGUCCUUCUAUGCCUACUAAGAUGCUCAAAGUAUGGAGGCGGUGAUCCCAAUUCUAUGAGACAUCUUUUCUAUCAGGACGCGUUCUCGAUUGUGGGCGUGUGCAUAGGUGCUCUGAAGAUCCCCGAGAAGUGGUGGCCCGGCUCGCUGGACCUGUGCUUCAACUCACACAACAUAAUGCACAUCAUCGUGGUGAUGGCCGUCUACCCGAUGCACCAGUCCACCGUCAAAGACCUGCUCUGGAUGAACCGCCCACACUGCUGCUCCAAGAGCGGUCACGCCGACUAAUUAGCACUAAUUAAUUGCAUCCGAUCGAGAAUUGUGAUAAUAUUUUUACCAAUAUUCAAUAAGGAAGAACGAAGUGCAGUGCGUGCAAAAACUUAACGGCCAAACUUUGAUACCUACUGAUUAAGUUCAAUUAUUAAUCUUGAAAAUAAAUGAUUACAUAAGGCCCUUCUUCUAGGACACUUAGGGCCGGUUUCCGAUCUCGGGAUUUGGCUAAGUUCUAGACUUUAAACAGCUGGAGUAUGAAAAUUGGCUUUCCGAAACGGGGCUUAGUCGUAGUCAUUGUCAAAGUCACGUUUUAAGUAAAUUUCAAAAAACUAGAAAAUUAAACACAAAAUAAAAUAAAGAGAAAAUAGUGUAAAGUUUCAGCUAUUUUGAAUUAUUUAGAAAUGUUUAAUUUCGUCAAGGAAAAACGUUUCCAAUUAUAGAAAUGAGAAAAUAAAAACUGCGACUACUGUUAUAAAAACUGCGACUACGCCCCGUUUUGGAAAGCUAAUCUUCUGACUCCAGCUGUUUAAAGUCUAGAACUUAGCUAAAUCCCGAGCUCGGAAACCGGCCCUUACUGAAUCUUAUGGACUAUUACGUAGGAUUAAUGUCCAUUGCAUUAAAUUCGUGUCCUUUGGAUGAGUGUUCACGUUGAUAGUUGGAUGUUUCUAGGAAAGUUUUUAAACCUAAUGCCGCAUCCACAUGUUUGCCCAAUGACGGCCAUCGCCAGUGUGUGGAUGGGUAAUUUGCCAAGGCUGGCCUUCAUUGGGCACUGGUCACAUUGCAGGCUAGGCCAGCUUACUGCGCCAUCGACUGAGCCAACAUGUGGAAUAGGCACUAGGCUUUAAGCUGCGUACAGAUUUCAGCCCCACGAACACGUGCAUUUUGCUCUUCAUUAGCUGAUUCUAUGUUUAUUAUAUCUGUAUUUGUACAAAUAUAAUAAGCAUAGCAUCAGCUGAUUGAGAGUGAAAUGCGCGUGCUCGUGGCGCUCAAGUCUGUACGCACCUUAAUGGACCAUUGAAUCUACAGGUUUUGGAUGUGUAGAUUCUGGUCAUGUACAUUUUUAAUAAAUAAUCUAAUCAAAUCUAAUUGGAUUUUAUAAAACUCCUAGGAACCGAUUCUUGGAAUUCAAGGUUAUAAGCAUAGCAGAAAACUGUUCAGCAGUCAAACUUGAUCAAAACAUAAAGUGAAAUGGAUAAGAUUUCAGUCUGAUGUAAAUGUCUAGUGUAAGUUUGACUUGAAUAUGUUGGCCAAUGCAUAAAACCAUAGCAUAUUUACUUGAGCUACUGAAAAUAAUGAAGCACAAUAAGAAAUAUCAAGUAGGUACACUUUAUCACAAUACAACUAGUUUCAACUCUUCAAGAGCGAGUGUAAAUUUGAAGUGUAAAGUGAUUUGGAGAGUUUAGCGGAGGCAUCACAGUAUCGUGAAAUUACUACUCCCCUCUUAAAUUGUGACUUAAUUAGACACUUAUUUUGAACAUUAGCUAGCUCAAUGUUACUGAACCAUUCCCUUCAUUAAGUAAAAAAUCCAAUCAAUUUUAAUUUUACUGCAAGUUUGUAGGGAAAUUAGCUGGAAUAUUAUCAAUAUCUAUAUCAUUUCGACGUCUUCAUAUAUUUUGGGCGAAUUUCCAAAUUUAUUUCUUAUGAAAUUAGUAGGCUAUUGUUAUAAAAAUUCAAAGGUCAAAUUCAUGGACAUGAUCCAUGAGUUCAUUUCUCAAUUUGGCAGUUUUCUUUUUGCACGCACUGUACAUUCUGGUGCCAGAAGUUGGUCUUCACUAGUCCAAUAAAAUUGCCUUACAAUGAGUUGUGAUAGGUAGAUCUCAAAUACGAAAUAAAAUACGUGUUAAGAAAUUAAAUUAAUUAAUUCGAAUGGUAAGAAUAAUUGUUAGAAAAUAGUGUUCAUAUCAUCAGCAGUCGAGGUGGAAACUGGAAAGUGCCGUUUUCUAUGCAUGAGCAGAUAAUUUGUAUGCCUAGAUGCAACAUGCACUCAAACCAUAGUAAAUAUAACAUUUAUACUCCAAAUAACAACAUGAUUAAAAAUAAUAUUAACAAGGCAAAUUGAAGAAACAAGUAAAAAAUAACAUUGAUAUAUGAAAAAAGUAACGAUAAAACAAUAUUUAGGUAGGUUUUUCGUUUACCAAGUCGAUGUCAACGUGGACAUGAGCAUAAAUUAUUUGUUUGACAAAAACUCACAGUCUAAAAUCAAAAUUGGUCAAUAAAAUCAGAGACCAUGAAAAAAUUAUUAAAAUGUUUGCAUUUUACAUAAUAUAUCUGAGAUUAUGUGUUUUGUCAGUCUAGAGAUUAAUAGGGUUAUAUUAUUGUAAAAUUUACCCCAUACAUAAGUGAAUUUGUGAAAUUUUCCCAUUUUGAGGUGGAAUUAAUAAGAUAUUGUCAGUUCCUCACUCAUUCCCAGUACGUAAUCUCAUUCUCUCAUAAACGGCUGUGAUAUCUUCAAACAUAUGACUUUUGGAUAUGACUCCAACCUUAUAAUGCAGUUUCUUGAACAAAGUUUUUUACUGUCUAGUGAAUGAUAAGCACAUCAAGCAUAUUUUUAUGUUCAAGUUUACUGGCUCGACCUGGUUGAACACUCUUAUUACAUUUUCAUUAUUCGAAGUUACUCUAGUAUCGUUUACUUUCAAUCCCUAUAAUUAAUUCCUAUAACAUGAAUUUUUACAACUUCAAUAGAUGAAAAACUUUUGAGAAUAUUCUUAUAAUUUUCUAAUAAAUUAUGUAAAAAUAUUGUAAUUUCUUUCUCAAAGAAAUUCAUGCCUGAUACUUAUAGCCGCAGUUACAUGUUAAAGAAUGCACUUCUUCAAAUCUCUUGGAAAUAUUUUGAAUAAUUCAAUAAACUACUGAAUUCCUCUCUUCUAUAAUCUUUUGAACCAGCAAUGAUGAUUUUUGUCAGAAGAAUCUUAACAGUUACCUGUUGAGUAUUAUUUUAAUAGCUUAGCUUAUAUAAACGAAUGGAAUUUGACGUGAAUGUACGAGUAUGUUUGUGAUUGAAAUGCUUCAAAAAUUAGCAUGUCGAAAGUUUUUAUGAGAGAUUGAUAUUGUGAGAAACAUUAGUACUGGUAAUAGAUGAAUUGAACGGGCAAUAGCGAUUUGUAAAUUUGAUAUAUUUUUUAUUCGUGUAAGAAUCGAGAAUAAUGUAAGCAGCAGCAACAGUAAUUUAAUAAUUGAAAUUGAAUCCUAUCGCAGAAGUUAGAGACCUUGAAGAAGUAAAAAUUAUUACAUUUCUAUUUGCAAUAUUAUAUGAUGUUGAGUUGGUGAAUUUUAUUUUUGUGCCAUUUUUACUAUCCAUACUAUUUUGAAGCCGCUAAUUCGAUAAAUUACAACCCUAUGUUAAAGUAGGAUUAUGAAGCUGCGUUUACACCAAAGUUAUUAGCAAAAUGUUUAUUUUUCCGUCCUUAUAGAUUCUAUUAGAUUGAACAUAACUUAUCAUACACAUGAUGUGCAUAUUUGUUUGUCAAGCUCCGUUUAAUCUAAUAGAAUCUAUAAGGACGAAAAAAAAAUGUUGAUAACUUUGGUGUAAACUCAGCUUAAGAGUUACCGAAUAUUCAAAAUGAUAGCGGAAUAUGUACACAGUAAACAAACAAAACACUGUUAUUGUUAUAUGUUAUAUUAUAAAAUAUUGCAAAGGUAUGGUUGAACUAAGAAAAUACGAGAAAUGUUGUUCAAGUACAGUACCUUAUUGAUAACUUUAUAAUUUUCUAUGAAACUCAAUCUAUAACUGAAAAUACAAGAAGUACUUUUCUUAAUAUAAAUAAAAAUAGAAAUCUAAGUACCUUUUUUAUAAUUGUUUACUCACAAAACAAUUUUGAAAAGGUUACUUGGAUUUCUAUUUAUUUAUUCUUAUUUAACUGUAGCCCUACCGAAAAAAGACACUUUUCUUAAUGUUUGGCAAAUAAAAAAAAUAAUUUUCUGUUGAACUUGAAUAUCUAUUUUCGAAAAAAGAAGUUCUCAUGAAUUGUUUUAACACUGUGCUAUUGUCAAUGCUUAUCACAAUGUAGGCCUUAAAAUAAUGAUAAAUAAAAUGAUUUCUAUCACAUAAUUUUGAAGAAGCUAAAUGAUUGUAAACAUUGAUUCUGCUCUUUUCAAGUUCUUCCCUUGCUCUCUCUCUGAUUUUAUUCUAGGGUUAGUUUUUAAGUCACUCAUAUUGAGUGAAUUCUGCUGUUAUAGAAAGUACCAUUUCAAAUUUAUUGUUAAUAAUAUUAUUAACACUUCUUUGUAAGUGCAAAUAAGCUUUACUUAGUCGUAGAUACACAUUGUAAAUAAUAAUAAAUUAAUUAUUUAGUGAGAUAAUUAGCCUACUCCUCGUAUCAUUGCUAGUACUUAUUUAAAGAAAAUAUGAAAGCAAAUAUGAUAUAUUUGUACAUAUAUUACAAUAAUUCGGAAUGGUGAAUUUUUUAUAGUAACAAUUAACUGAAAGCUGGAUAAAAACGUGUUGAGGAUUUACAUACUUUCUAUUUAUUUAUCAAGAUUUGAGAUGAUAUACUCGUUGUCCUGAUGGUAAAUUGAACAAUUAAACUUGAAAACCAUGAUGUGCAAUUAAUAAAUUCAAGUGUUGUUAAAUUCUUAUUGAAAACGGAAGAUUGAACAGCAGUGUACCGGUUGGUUAAUUCGAACCAAGGAUAUGAAUGUAUUUAAAUUGUUUGAAUUUGUUAUUGAAAUUCAAGACCUACUCAAUCAUCGUGAUAAGUAUUUUAAAACAAUUUGUGUAUUUCAAAUUGAUUGUCAAAUGAAACCAAACCAUCAACUAGCCAAUUCAUUGGCAUCAUAUACUUUCAAGCCUUCAAACUCCAAUGCAAAUACAUAAAUCAAUUUUUUAAAAGAAUAUUCGAAUAUUAAAUUUUACUUACUGCUACCGGUAUGAAAAUUAACAAUAAGAAUAAUAAAUGCAUGUUAUAUUUCAAUAUGGAAACUAAAUUAUUAUUUUGAUAAAAUAUCAGAUUUAUCGAAAAAC
RNAcentral lists this unclassified non-coding RNA (5863 nucleotides) under Nilaparvata lugens (brown planthopper). Its description in RNAcentral is "progestin and adipoQ receptor family member 4-like, transcript variant X1". The record is from RNAcentral. Lineage: Eukaryota; Metazoa; Arthropoda; Insecta; Hemiptera; Delphacidae.